This 301-nucleotide ribosomal RNA is filed under the name uncultured bacterium. RNAcentral describes it as "partial 16S ribosomal RNA". It matches the Rfam family "Bacterial small subunit ribosomal RNA", at positions 509 to 807 of the family's 1533-position model. The record is from RNAcentral.
CAGCCGCCGCGGUAAUACGAGGGGGGCAAGCGUUGUUCGGAAUUAUUGGGCGUAAAGGGCGCGUAGGCGGUUUGGCAAGUUUGGUGUGAAAUCUUCGGGCUCAACUCGAAGUCUGCACCGAAAACUGCCGAGCUAGUAGGUGAGAGAGGUGAGUGGAAUUCCGAGUGUAGAGGUGAAAUUCGUAGAUAUUCGGAGGAACACCAGUGGCGAAGGCGGCUCACUGGUCCAUUACUGACGCUGAGGUGCGAAAGCGUGGGGAGCAAACAGGAUUAGAUACCCGGGUAGUCCCUGUCUCUUAUAC